CAGUAGCUGAGUAGAUAACGCGAUGGCCUUCGAAGCAAAAGGUACUGGGUUCGAAUCCCAGAGUGAA
This 67-nucleotide transfer RNA is filed under the name Schistosoma mansoni. The record is from RNAcentral. Lineage: Eukaryota; Metazoa; Platyhelminthes; Trematoda; Strigeidida; Schistosomatidae.